UCAAAACACUAUAUCAGCUAAAACAGCUCAACACAGUUUAAACAUACAGCCAAGUAAUGAAUGGUAGAAAGAAACAGCUAAAA
Molecule: long non-coding RNA, 83 nt
Organism: Etheostoma cragini (Arkansas darter)
Lineage: Eukaryota; Metazoa; Chordata; Actinopteri; Perciformes; Percidae
Exons: 3
Source: RefSeq, a predicted model, not a curated record